RNAcentral lists this transfer RNA (71 nucleotides) under Camelus ferus (Wild Bactrian camel). It matches the Rfam family "tRNA". Rfam says of the family: Transfer RNA (tRNA) molecules are approximately 80 nucleotides in length. Their secondary structure includes four short double-helical elements and three loops (D, anti-codon, and T loops). Further hydrogen bonds mediate the characteristic L-shaped molecular structure. tRNAs have two regions of fundamental functional importance: the anti-codon, which is responsible for specific mRNA codon recognition, and the 3' end, to which the tRNAs corresponding amino acid is attached (by aminoacyl-tRNA synthetases). tRNAs cope with the degeneracy of the genetic code in two manners: having more than one tRNA (with a specific anti-codon) for a particular amino acid; and 'wobble' base-pairing, i.e. permitting non-standard base-pairing at the 3rd anti-codon position. Lineage: Eukaryota; Metazoa; Chordata; Mammalia; Artiodactyla; Camelidae. The record is from Rfam by way of RNAcentral.
GGGUAUAUAGCUCAGUGUAGAGUGCACGCCUAAUAUGCACAAGGUCCUGGGUUCAAUUUCCAGUACUCCCA